RNAcentral lists this ribosomal RNA (808 nucleotides) under Tolypocladium amazonense. RNAcentral's name for it is "eukaryotic LSU rRNA". It matches the Rfam family "Eukaryotic large subunit ribosomal RNA", at positions 77 to 917 of the family's 3401-position model. The record is from RNAcentral. Lineage: Eukaryota; Fungi; Ascomycota; Sordariomycetes; Hypocreales; Ophiocordycipitaceae.
GCCCAGUAACGGCGAGUGAAGCGGCAACAGCUCAAAUUUGAAAUCUGGCCCCCAGGGCCCGAGUUGUAAUUUGCAGAGGAUGCUUUUGGCGCGGUGCCUUCCGAGUUCCCUGGAACGGGACGCCAUAGAGGGUGAGAGCCCCGUCUGGUCGGACACCAAGCCAGUGUAAAGCUCCUUCGACGAGUCGAGUAGUUUGGGAAUGCUGCUCUAAAUGGGAGGUAUAUGUCUUCUAAAGCUAAAUACCGGCCAGAGACCGAUAGCGCACAAGUAGAGUGAUCGAAAGAUGAAAAGCACUUUGAAAAGAGGGUUAAACAGUACGUGAAAUUGUUGAAAGGGAAGCGUUUAUGACCAGACUUGGGCCCGGUGAAUCAUCCAGCGUUCUCGCUGGUGCACUUUGCCGGGCUCAGGCCAGCAUCAGUUCGUCGCGGGGGAUAAAAGCUUCGGGAACGUGGCUCCCUCGGGAGUGUUAUAGCCCGUUGCAUAAUACCCUGCGGUGGACUGAGGUACGCGCUCCGCAAGGAUGCUGGCGUAAUGGUCAUCAGCGACCCGUCUUGAAACACGGACCAAGGAGUCGUCUUCGUAUGCGAGUGUUCGGGUGUCAAACCCCUACGCGUAAUGAAAGUGAACGCAGGUGAGAGCUUCGGCGCAUCAUCGACCGAUCCUGAUGUUCUCGGAUGGAUUUGAGUAAGAGCAUACGGGGCCGGACCCGAAAGAAGGUGAACUAUGCCUGUAUAGGGUGAAGCCAGAGGAAACUCUGGUGGAGGCUCGCAGCGGUUCUGACGUGCAAAUCGAUCGUCAAAUAUGGGCA